Molecule: ribosomal RNA, 506 nt
Filed under: uncultured bacterium
Lineage: Bacteria
Description: partial 16S ribosomal RNA
Rfam family: Bacterial small subunit ribosomal RNA
Source: RNAcentral
GAUGAACGCUAGCUACAGGCUUAACACAUGCAAGUCGAGGGGUAACGAGAGGGAAGCUUGCUUUCCUUGUCGACGACCGGCGCACGGGUGAGUAACGCGUAUCCAACCUGCCCCCAACUAGGGAAUAACCUUGCGAAAGUAAGACUAAUACCCUAUAAUUUCCUCAGAUGUCAUCUGACGAGGAAUAAAGAUUUAUCGGUUGUGGAUGGGGAUGCGUCUGAUUAGCUUGUUGGCGGGGUAACGGCCCACCAAGGCAACGAUCAGUAGGGGUUCUGAGAGGAAGGUCCCCCACAUUGGAACUGAGACACGGUCCAAACUCCUACGAGAAGCAGCAGUGAGGAAUAUUGGUCAAUGGGCGGAAGCCUGAACCAGCCAAGUAGCGUGCAGGAUGACGGCCCUAUGGGUUGUAAACUGCUUUUAUACUGGAAUAAAGUUAGCCACGUGUGGUUAUUUGUAGGUACUGUAUGAAUAAGGACCGGCUAAUUCCGUGCCAGCCGCCGCCGUAA